Molecule: transfer RNA, 77 nt
Filed under: Schaalia odontolytica
Lineage: Bacteria; Bacillati; Actinomycetota; Actinomycetes; Actinomycetales; Actinomycetaceae
Also listed under: 51 other names
Description: Actinomyces odontolyticus tRNA-Pro(tgg)
Rfam family: tRNA
About the family: Transfer RNA (tRNA) molecules are approximately 80 nucleotides in length. Their secondary structure includes four short double-helical elements and three loops (D, anti-codon, and T loops). Further hydrogen bonds mediate the characteristic L-shaped molecular structure. tRNAs have two regions of fundamental functional importance: the anti-codon, which is responsible for specific mRNA codon recognition, and the 3' end, to which the tRNAs corresponding amino acid is attached (by aminoacyl-tRNA synthetases). tRNAs cope with the degeneracy of the genetic code in two manners: having more than one tRNA (with a specific anti-codon) for a particular amino acid; and 'wobble' base-pairing, i.e. permitting non-standard base-pairing at the 3rd anti-codon position.
Source: RNAcentral
CGGGGUGUAGCGCAGCUUGGUAGCGCAUCUGCUUUGGGAGCAGAGGGUCGCAGGUUCAAAUCCUGUCACCCCGACCA